CUGGCAUUUAAGAAAAGUAGUUUAGAACCAAAUGAAGGGUUUAUUCCAGCUUCUUUGUACAAGCCUCUUUUAGGCAAUAUUUUAUUUACUGCAUUUCAGUUAGUUCUGGCAAAUGGGGCUGCCAAGGUCGAAAACUGCAGGACCCCUUGCGGUACAGCUCCCCUGCUGUGGACUUCCUUCUCUCCUUCCCUGGGAGGCUGCGGGUCCCUCCCGAGCAUUCCUGGGGUGUGGUGCCCUGGCAGACCAGCUUAUGCUCCAUGUUACCGUCUUGCUCUCAGAGUGCCCUUUAUUCAAGCCACUGCUCAACAAAUGUCACCAUUGUGAAUUUGCCUGGAAUCCUUAGGAGGAGAAAAAGCCAUCUCCCUCUGGGGGGAAGGGAGGGUGGACCUUACGCCCACCUAAAAUGCUGAUCCCAGGGCAACAAGCUGGUGCUGUCAGAGGACUCUUGCUGACUGACUCACUACGGAAAAUGAGGGCAAGGCUCUGGUGCGGUGUGGCAGGGUGCCCUGUUGGUGACCACAGCAAGUUCCUCAGGCCUGUGGCGACUUCCUCUGGGAUGGAUGCUGGCCCUCAUCAUCAUCUGGGGGUAUCCCUCCUCCUUUCUAACCUGUCCCCGAUCUGUAUUCUCAGGACUGUGGUAUGUUCACUUGCUGUCCUUCCUAGUCAGCCUAGGCUGCUAUAACAAAAUACCAUAGACUGGAGGGCUUAAGCAACAAAUGUUUAUUCCUCCCAGCUCUUGAGGCAGGAAGUCCAAGAUCAAGGUGCCAGCCGAUUUGGUGUCUGAUGAGGGUCUGCUUGCUGGUUUGCAGAUGGCCACCUUCUUGCUGUGUCCGCACGUGGCAGAAGGAGUGCAUGUUCUGGUCUCUUCCUUUUCUUAUAAGGACACUAAUCCCAUCUUAGGGGCCCCACCUUCAUGACCUCAUCUAAAUCUAAUUACCUUCCUAAGACCCCACCUCUGAACAGCCGCAGAUUAGGGCUGCAACAUAUAAAUUUUAGGGGUCACAAACAUUCAAUCCGUAAUACUUGCUAUACACCACGUGCACACACGCACACACGCACACACACACACGCACACACAGACACAGUAUCCAAUGUGUCCUUCCUAUUAGAAAUUGCCAUAGCUUGGGGUGGACUGUAGAGUGUAGAAAAGCGAAGGUUACAAAAACACUAUUACUCAUUCAUAUAGAAUGCAUGAGAUUUUGGAAAGAAUUCAUUUCAUUCUGAGGUAAAUUAUACACCAACCAGGACAGUGCCUCAACCAAGGAGGGCUAGUCAUCGAUGAAGGAAAUCAAUAUGUCUGAACUAACAUCUUUGAGCAUGAUAACUAAUCCUUCUCUAUCUGUGCCCCCAUGUUCUUAGCUACCUUUUGGAAGUAAACAGUACGUAGACAUAGCUUUUUCGGUUUUCAUAUUUAUUUUUUGAUUGAUGUGAAAACCUAUUUCCAGAGUGUUUUCGAACGCUGGACCCUGAAGCAUCUUCAAGCACUGCCUGCUGCAAGUUGUAUAUAAAUAAGGACACAGUGGUACAGUGUGUAGGCCAGGCGUAAACAUUACCAAAUCUAAAGUACUAACAGUGAUUUUGGAAUUUGCAAGCUGUGGUGAUGUCAGUUAAAUCAGGCGAUUUGAACUGACGGACCAGCCAGCCAUGCGGAGAGGAGCUUAGUGGCCUGUGGAGGCUUUAGGAGAGCUGGUUGGCAGGAGGUCAUGCCAAGAGGACAGCUUCUAGCUGGAUCGCCUGGACGGAAUGUCAGCAAUGAGAAGGUGGAUAAAGUGAGAGGGUGAAAAUCAUGGCAGAAUCUAAAGGGCAUAGUAUUAAAGAUAAUAAUAAUAAUCAAUAAUAGAAGUGCUUUAACUUCUGUGUCUGCUGGAGGACAGGAAACGUGUAUGUGUUUAGUUUAACCUAAUGCUCUCCUAGCAUCCUGUGGGAUAGACGAGAUCAUCCAUUUUAAACACUAGGCAACUAAGAAGCAGGCCAAAAAUCUGCCCACGGUCAUAUAAGUAGCAGUGGAGGCAGGAAGGGUCGAAGCCUUUGAAUGGAGCCCUUUCUGAUUCCAAAUGCACGUUUCUUUUCUCUUUGUCUUGAUAAAGUUUUGCUUGCUAUUAGUUUAAUUCACAAAUGUCAUUUAGGGGCAUACCGUGUUUCAGGAGCUGCAGAGGGAGGAUAACUACCCGAUGGUGUUGUGAAGGAGCAGAUUCCUAAAGGAAUUUGGGGGUAGAAUAUCAUGUUUUAUGUUAUUCAAAUGAUGGAACAGUGUGAUUCAUAAUAGAUAAGAAGGGAGUUUGGUUUUUACCUGACUCUAAAUCCUUACUUCGAGAGUGAAAUAUUUUCACCUGGACUCCUUUCUGUCUCUUGAAAGGCGUUAUAUCCAAGGUUGGACUUAGCUCAUCUCACACCCUAAACCCCACCAACCACAGGAGCUUCCCCUUCAGAACUCCCCUGUCUAUUUAAGGCAACAUAGCAAACUAACAAGAUUGGAAACUUUCAUCAUCCUUGCCACCUCCUUACCCUUCGAUGGCUCAGAUCCCAUGUGUGUCUUGUCCGUUGCUUUCUGCACACACUCCCCUGUUAUGUUGCUGUGACUCACAUCCAAGCCAUUUUUUACCUCAUCCCAGCAGUACUGCAAUUGGCCUCCCUUCUUCCAGGCUCUGCUUACCCCCACCAGUGUGUCUGACUUUGAACCAAAACCUCUUUUUCUUAACAACUGCAUGCUUGAGACUCCCUAAAGAUCCAAAGUGAAUCACUCAUUCCCUUGUGAGAAGGUUAAGUUCCAGGAGGGUAGAGACUUUUCUCUCUUUUGUUCACUGGCCUAUCUCCAGUGCCUACAGAGAAGCCUGGCGCAUUUGUUGAAUGUAUGAAUUAGUGCAUUUGCAGUUCAUAAAGGGAGGGAGGGAAGAAAGAGGAGACUAAUAUUUACUAGUGUCUAUUAUGUUCAAGCAGUGUGCUAGUCAUUUUAAACAUGACGUCCUCUAAUCUUUAAAGGGUAUUAUGAUCCACAGCUUUUACUAACUGACUCAAAACACAUGUAUUGAAUAUUUACCAUGUUCCAGGCAUCCUGCUAGACAGCAGGGAACGUGAACAAGGCAGGUAUAAUCCAUGUGCUCUUGGGGCGUAGAGCUGAGUCCAUGUGUACGUAUGUGUGGUACAGAGAGACAAUACUUAAGUAAAGGAACAGACCAAAGAAUUAGUUAGUACAAUUACAAUUAGAAAUUUUGCUUCAGCGGAAGUUGAGGCUCACAGUUUGACAGUGGCCUUUGAAAGCUAGGCUAAGGAUGUUCCCAUCCAUCCUGAGUUCCCACUGCUCCCACCAAGACAGCAAUUUCAGUGGGGCCCUAAGUUGUUUUCUAUUCCAUGAAUACACCACAUUUCCCCCACCCUCACGUCUUUCCUCACAUUCCGUUCAUCAGGCAGGGGAACUCGUUUUCUGCACUGCCUGCAACACUUCUUAGUAUACUCAGGUAAGUUAAGAAACUUUUCAUGCCUCUGGGGAGCUCACAGCCUUGAAAAAAUUAGGAACCACAUAAAAGAGCUGUGAUACAUAGCAGAGUCUGGUGAAUGAGUGCGCUGAAGGGUUUAGAUGGAGAAAUGAUCAUGUCCAUUUGGGGGAGAUCAGAAAAUGUAUGCAGAGAAGGUGGUAUUUGAGCAAUGAGUAUGAUUUCUACAGCUUGUCCUAGAGAAACGAUGCUCAAAGUUGAUGAAACAGUAUAAGCAAAAAUUGCGUAUGUGUCCGACUUCUAGGGACAUGUAGGUAAUAGUAAGAAUCCCAGUGUGGCUGAUUAUGGAACAGUUGUAGGGGAGAAAGGGAAUGGAAAGCUAAUAUGGGAUCAUGCGUUGGAGGACUAAAUGCCAAGGAGAGGAGUUUAUAAUUAAUGUGGUGGGCAGUGGGAAUUCACUGUGAUUUUUGACUAGGAGAAAGACAUGCUUGUGGCCAUGUUUCAGGAAGAUUGUUCUGGCCUGUUGUGGAGGAUGAAUUGGGGAGACCCAUCUGAGAGCUGUUUGCAGUAGAUCAUGUGAAUGGUAAAAGCCUGAUCUUUCGGGAGUCUUAAGCAUGCAGUUAUUAAGAAAAAGAGGUUUUGAUUCAAAGUCAGACACACUGGUGGGCGUAAGCCAAGCCUGAAGUUGGAGAGGGGAGGAACAAGUCGAGGGCUCUGAGCUUCCCGGACAGACUAAGAGAAUGGAAUCCUCAGAGAUGGAAAACAGUUGUUUCUAGGUGGAAAAUUAAUCUGAGAUGAAAGAUAAUUCACUCAGAUCCAUUUACCUGGAAGUAUCGUCCCUCCUCUAGUCUAUAUAGAGCAAAACCUCAUGAAGAAGGUGGGGUAUAAACCCAAGGGGUCAUGCAGUUUUACUCCCUACAGCAUUCUAGUCUGUUCACAUAAAUUAGUAUGGAUUGCUUUAGAUUGUUCCAUAUGCGAUUUGCAGGUGUUGGUCUGGUUUUCCCCAGUUGGUGCAAAAUCAGGGGCUUUUUCAGUAUCCUCUAAAACAGUUUUGAAAAGUUCAGAGACACGGAACACUUACAUGCCCAUCAUUUUUGUGUCUCAAAAAAAAAAAUUCACAUCUGCUUCAACAAUAUUAUGGAAUUUGAGCUUAAUAUAGAUUAAAUAUACUUUUUUCAUAUCACAAAUUAUGAAAAUUUGUUCUGAAACAAUAUUGUAAUGUAUUCAUCUGUCAUCUCUAGAACUUUAGAUGAGCAUGUAUAUAAUUUAUCUUUUCAUCAAAGUCUAAGGUACUGUCUCUGACUAAGGAAAGAGAAGGUGGUGAAGAUGUAGGAGGAACAGGGAAUAUUAAUUAAUAUACUGAGGGAAAAACCUAGUGCAAAAAAAAAACCAGUUCGAGUCCAUGUUAGACAAAGACGUGAAGCUACAUUGUCAUUACUGGUUCACUAGAUCCAAAAAGCAAGACAAAAGCAGUCCAGUUAUAAAAACCAGACCUUAUUUGAAAGAGAGCUAAGUGAUACCGUCACAGUUCAGUUACUAGCCUAGUGAGACCUUAAGAAAACAAGCAGGUUUUGCCCUGUGUCCUAUAAUGUUGUUUUUACAAUUUUCAGGAUAGAGAAGAAAGUCAUGCCAGUGCCAGAAAAUUUGCCAAGUGCUUUGGCAUCCUGGGAAUUUAUUCAGCUUAUUUUGAGGAGGUCAUCAAGUUCCCAAGGGGCAGACUUUUUUUUUUUUCCAGAAGAUAUUUUGGUAAUGGGUCUAAUUAUAAUAACUUUGUUUAAUAGCAUACUUUUCUUUGAAAGAACUGAAGAAUUUUUAAAAAAUAAUACUUGGUUUCUUUAUGGUAACCUGUGAAGUUGGGAAAAGGAUAUUGAUUAUCUUAUAGCCAUAAUCUCUUUUCUUUAUAUUUGGGAAAAAUAAAGGAACUCCAUCCCACUUACCUCAAAAUUGACUAAUGAAUUGACCAAUCUUUCCAAAAGUCUGGAGAAGCUUUAGCUCUGCUGUAUCACAUUCAUUUAGCCAGUGAAAUGAUGUUCUUCAGAAUCUUGAAUAUUAAUUUUAAUUUUGACUGUAUUUGAUAAACUCAGAGUUGAAAAUAUACCCCAUCAAACUUUGGUCUUUGUGUAUAUGCUGACAAAGAUCAAGGUGAUUUGUAGGGGUUAGAGAUGGAAAUCAAAAACAUGCUGAGGGAAAAAAAGUCCAAUACAAAAGAUGUGAAACUAUGUUCUCCUAAUUACAAAAAAAAAGACAAAGUGUUAGAAAAAAAAGUGAACUUAUAAAUCAGAGUAACCCUAAAUGGAGCCAUGUGGCAAACGAAAGGACCUAUAAAAUGGCAUGGGGAUAAAACUAAGCAAGGCAAAAGGAUUAAGAAAUUUCAUUGGAAUGAGAAGUAAGUUAAGAAAGACCAUUCUGAGUUAACUGUAGCAGAAUAAAGGGAUUGGCAGCCCUCUCCGUAAUUCUGCUGCAAUGGUUCCUAAAAUAUUGAGUAAGGCUUUGUGAUUCUAAUUAGCUAAGUACUAGAAACAUGCCUUCUAAUGGGACUCAUAUGGCUAUAUGGAAUAACUGCAAAAAUAUGGGGUUUGAGCUUAAUAUAGAUUAAAUAUACUUUUCAUAUCAUAAAUUAUGAAAAACUGUUCUAAACAAGAUUGUAAUUUAUUUAUCGGUCAUCUAGAGAGCUUCGGGGGUUGGACAUGUGUGCACAGAAUAUAGUGCAGUGCUAUUUGCAUGUCCAAUCAGGGUUUUCCUUGUGCUGACUUUGGGUUGGUUUUCACAGUCCUUGAUUAGUGAACUCUAAACAAUGAUAAUGAUAACCAGGCAUAACUUUGAUGUUGUUCCUUAAAUUAGAGUGUGGCCCAGAUAGGAAAGCUAAUGGUAAUCAUGAUGAUAGCCUAUGUAUAUUGAGUGCCUGCUGUUUGCCAUGUGUUAACUUAUUUAAUCCUCACAACAACCCUACUAGACAUAUGAAGAAACUGAGGUACAGAGCAGCUAAGUAACUUGCUCAGGCUCACACAGCCAGGAAGUGGCAGACCUGGGAUUUGAACCCAGGACUUCUGGCUGUAGGUCCCACACUCCAAACUCCACUGUAGUGCGGUAUUUCCCACGCUGUGGUAUUUUUUGUACUGCUGCUGGUGACAUCCCCAGCUUUCUGGAAUUCUAACCAUGGUGUCUUGUCUAUCUCUUUGGACUUUUUUUCCCCCCUGUUCUGAUACAGCCACAAGACCCCUUAUGAUUCAGAGAAUAUGGUGCCCUUAAUGAAUCAUCAAGACGUCGAUGGGCAUUUUGGGGCUUUUCUGUGGAGAUCUCAUUUCUUAAUUCUGACUCAGCCCAUCAGAAUGAUUUGAUGGUUAUGACAUAUCAUCCCUGCAUGCAAUUAAAUGAAUAACAAUCCUUUACCCACACUUGCUAGUGGAAAAGAAAGAAACUGACCACAUUUUUGGAACACAUUGCCUCUAUAAGUAAGAGCAACUUCUCCCCGUACUUACUCUCUAUGAGUUUGAAUUUUAGAGAGAUUUGUUAACAUCUGGAAUACUAAUAUUACAUAGUCCAAGAAUAAUGAGAGAUGUAUGGUUUAGUGAACGUGUGAGUGAGUGAGUGUGGUUUAGAAAUGAGAGGUUUAGUGAGCUAUCCGACCACCAAGAUUCUUGAGGCCAAACUCAAGCAAUGUUACUGAUAACACAUAUGACCUUACUACCCAGUUUUAAACAUUUCUUGCCCAAUACUAAUCUCAUUGCCGUUUCAUCUCAGAUUUUUCCAAGAAAUGCUCCCUUGUCCCAGCUCUCUGUUAAAAAAGAGCAUUGGUAAAGUGCUUCAUAUGAGCACAAGGGCAAGAGCAACCAAUAUCACAGCCCCGUUGUAGAUAGAUGGGGAAAAGGAUGCAUGAAGACAUAACAGCCUGAUGAAAUCCCAACUCAGCAGCAGUGCUGUUACUUAAUAGAUUGGAAUAUUCUUAAGAGAAGCAGUGACCCUGUUCAGUCAAUGCAUUUUGAGUCCUCCUGGGGGCCAGGCUCUCUUCUGGGCUCUGAGGACCCAGAAUUGAAUAAAGCACCUUCCUGGCCCUCAGAGGGCCCCUAACUGACUCAUCUCUUCUCUGUUAAAUCCUUUUGUCUCUAAGUCUUGCAUAAUCAUGCUGUCACACUGAGAUCUAGUUCAGUAGUUUCAUGAUGUCCCCCUCAAGUCAGAGUGAAAUAAGAGCGACUCUUCCUCUGAAAUCCAUGGAAACGUUGAGUUUGCUGUUUUGUUCUCCUCGAUAAAAUAGAGCAUAAUAACUAGUUGCUGGGUUACUACAGAAAACUCAGGCCCCAAACGGCAGCCGGGAAGAGCAGUUAGCAAUUAAGUAAAGGAAAUGAUUAGUGGGUUUGAAACCCAACCCACUGCCCAUGUACUUCUUAGCAGAAUCAGGCAUCUAGGUUACUUAGGCAACUUUUAUCACUAAGGAAGUAGUUUUGGUGACUCAUGCUCAAACAGGAUAAUUUCUUUCCAAAUCUGUGUAUUCAGUGACCUUACCAUCAUCCUUAUGUUUUUCCUUCUCUUAGCACUGGGACAUAAAGACUACAUUUGGCUGGCUUUGGUUCAUCACUUAUUAGUGUAAUCCUUCACUGGGUGGCCCAUAGUUUGAAAUUUAAUGGACUCAUGGUGAUCAGAGUGAAAGGGCAGUAGUUCCUGCAAUAUAUUCCUAUAUUAAAGGUAGAACUAACAGCUUCUUUUCUAAGCAGAAAUGUUGUAUCUUGUAAUAACAACGUUUCUUGUCCGUUUUUAUUUAUGGAACAGUGCUGUUUAAAAUACUAGCCACACUUUUGAAAAAUAAACUAAAAUACUGAAGUAUUUUAUACCAUAACAUAAAAUGCCUUCAUUUUCCCCAAAGAGAUGCAAAAUGGAAUGAAAAUCUCCCUGAGAGCUGUCUAGAGAUGAUGAUCACAAAAAUGAAGGAAGCUGAAGAAACCUCCUUUGCCAGCUUCUCUCUUCAGAUUUUUGAUCUACCUGACGGAUGUUCCAACAGUAUCUGUUUGUGGACAGUUAACAUUUUUUUUCUGUUAAAAGAAUAGUAGAGAUGGUGUAGAAAAAAAUGAGUAAUGAAAAGUGUUAUAGGUUGAUGAUGUGUUUGGAGAAUUGUAUGCAAGAACUUACUAUUGACAGAGAAAAACAAAACCAAACCAAAUUGGAAGCCAAGUGUCUGAGAUGAUUCUGGGUUAGGACAGGAGCAGCCUGGCUUGGUCUCCAGGUUUUUCUGGUAGCCUCAGUGGUGACAGCUUUCAGUGUGGUCAGCCUCAGGAUCACGUGAGUCGUUAUUAUGUUUUUUUUCUUAACCCCAGAAACCAUGCCGUAAGUCAAAAUUUAGACAGUUUAGCUGUUUUCAUUUUGCUUUCAAUCUAGUCGUUUUCUGUUUUUAAUUUUGUGCCUGGAAAAACUUGAAAAAGGCCAUGAGUCAUGACAACUGUUUCCUUUUCCUCCAAAUAGAAGCCUUAGCAGCUGAGCGGUUUUCAGUGGGGACCCUUUAAGGGAAUGUUUGGGAGAAAUACGUAUCCGGGCGUUCUCCCAAAGUGUGGUACCCAGACCAGCAGUGGCAGCAUCCCCUGGAAAUCUGUUAGAAGUGCCCACUAUCAGGCACCACUCCAGAUGUGAUUGAAUCAGAGACUCUGGGGAAGGAAGUCUGUGUUUUAACAAGACAUCUAGAUGGUUCUGAGCAACGCUCAAGUCCGAGAACCACUGUGUUAGUGAAUUGUUAGUAUUUGUGGCUACUGAGAGUGUGAAAAAUAUAGUGGUUGGAAGGUGGGCAUGUUUAUGAGUCUUUGCUUGUGAGGAGAUGAAUCAUAGAGAGAAAAGAAUGCUUUAACUUUUGGAAUUCAAAAAAGAAAAAGAAAGCCUGGAAUCUAAUUAGCAGGACUAAUUGCUUGCAUGAAACUUUGCUCUCUCAGAGAACAGCGAUCCAGAUGACUAGGUUACUGUGAAAUAUAGUGGCAUGGUUUUGAAGUUCUAGAAGAAUCUCUCUAGUGAAGAAAGGCAUGUCUUUCCAUAUUAGGACAUAAAUUCAACUCAGUUUUGUAGAAUCCUAUAAGAUUCUUGUAUCCCAGUGACUUGGCCAGCUCAUUUACUUCUUGAGGCCCUACUUUCUACAUCUGAAAACCAUAUGCUUCGUUAGUUGCCAUGAGUUAUCUCAUUGGAAUGAAGUGAGGGAUUCAUUAUAUGGAAGAGGAUUUGUGAGGCAUCUUGAUUACUGAAAAAUGCAAACCAUAAGGGUCAAGAGUGAUUAAUAUAAAUCUUGAUGCAACUAUGAGUUGAUAUGUCAACUUCCCUUUGAUAUGUGCUCCCCCUUUUAAUUAAUUAAUUUAUUUUGGCUGCACCGGGUCUUAGUUGCGGUGUGCGGGAUCUAGUUCCCCGAUCAGGGAUCGAACCCAGGCCCCCUGCGUUGUGAGCUCGAGUCUUCCCCACUGGACCAUCAGGGAGGUCCCUGUUCUGUGCUCCCUUUAGUCUUGACUCUCAUGUAUUCAUUUUUGGUGUUAAACAAAUCACAGUUUUUAAAAGCUUUAAUCUUCAUUUCCUCAUGGAAAACAUAGUAUUCAUGAUACCUACUCACAGGAUUGUUGUGAGAAGAAAAUUAGAUUAAAAUAUGAAAAGGCAGUUUUAAAGCUCAAACAUUACAAAUUUUAGGUAUUGUUGUUUUGAUUGCGGUUAUUUCAUGUCCAGAUUGAGAAAGCUUUGUGAUUGUUGACAUAAUGAUAUCAUCCAGGAGUUUGGAAUAAGCGUGUACAUCAGCGGAUUUUAUGAUUACAAAAAAUAGCUGUGUUUGCUUUUCUACUGACUCUCCUUCAGUGGAAUGUUCCCAUUUUCUCAUGAAGUGGGGGGAGAUCCACAUAUGUUUUAUUAAAGAAAGCAAGCCUCGUAUUUUUUAUCCUUUGAACUGAGAGGCUACAUAUUAUUCAUUGUCUUCGAGUCAGGCUACCUGGGUAAAUUCCCAAUCCUCUACCUACUUGCAACCAUGGAUAAACCUCAGUUUCCUCAUAUGUAAACUAGGGGUGGUAAUAAUACAGAUUCGUAUGAAGAUGAAAUGGGAAAUGUAUGUAUAGAAUACAUAGCAGAGUGCCUGGCACAGAGUAAGCAUUCAGUAAUGUGGGCUGCUGUUGUGAUUAUCAUCAUUAAACUGUAGCAUGAAGAAGAGGAAAAAAGGUUGUGUGUGAAAGUCAAGGGCAGGAGGGAAUAAAAAGACAAGGGGAACAGCUUUGAAAAUGGUCUGAUCAUCCUGCAAAUGACAAUCCAAGCAAUUCCCACAACUUUUGAAAAUCAAAGACUUCCCUGUUGCUUCCAAUGAGAAAAUGAACCAUAGUCAUUUGUAAUGUCCACGUUCCUGUAACAAUCAAAAUCACAAUCUUGCUUGAAAGGUACAUGUCUUCCCUUUCCCAGCAUGAGCACGCAGAAGGCAAGGAGCUGUAGGAAAUGGGAGUCCUCGCCUCUCUCUCUCUCUCUCCCCCUCUCCCUCUCCCUCCUUCCCUUUCCCUCUCCUUCUCCCUCUCUCUCUCUCUCUCUCUCUCUCUCUCUGAAGUGCUCCUACUUCUUCUCUAUCUUGGUAACUGAAGUUUCUUGCUGCUCUAGGGUUAGAGCUCAUAGCAGAGAAAAGGUUGGGGAGAUAAGAAAGUUCUUACUUGACAAGGACUGUUGAUGAUCCAGUACUUAAAACUGGCCCUCUCCAUUUGGUCUGUGUUUAAAACUGGCCCUUCUUCUAGCAGGUGCUUCUUUGUUUCCCAGAGCUCCCUUGACCUGCAGAAAUGCAUUUGUAUUUGGUCAUCCACAGUCUCAAGGAGUCAUUCUGAAGUACACCCCUUGCUGCUUUUUGCUAUGGUACCUACUUUCCAGCGGAUGAUCCUGAACAGGAUCUAAGACAGCUAGCGCUAUCUUGCAUGGCUCAGAUCUGGUCCAAGGGAAAUACUUUACCUUCAAAAGCUCAGAGAGUAAUGAGGAUACAAUUUUCAAUCCCUGGGUAGCCCUUUGAAGCUCUUUGCCUUACACUUGCGGUAAGCAAACAACCCCAUAGAUCUUCUGGUCAGAUUCACACAGCAUGCUGGCAACUUGCUCCAAAAACCUUCAUCAUCAAAAAUCUCCAACUCUUUUUGCCUCUGACAUGGAUAAAUGGUUAUAAGAGUUACAUAACCUUCCUGGCAUGCUUCCUUUGAAAAUGUUGCUUUAUACCGUUGUAUUUCGCUUUGGAAUGUGGUGUCUAGUGUUCAGUACUUGAGUCAAAACUUGCACUUUAAUUCAAGGUAAAAGGGGGAGAGGAACGCUUUGGGGAUGCUUUGAUUUCACAGACCAUCACCCCAAAGUUGGUGGUGCUGCAGAGGAAAAGAUGGUUUACGCAUGCAGGUGUUGUUAUUGGGAGCCUCAUGAAUGCCCACCCUAAUCACAAAGUAAAGAUGUAAAUGUGAGUAGUGGUUUUUCCUCAUAGGCAGUUGUUUUGGUUGCGGUUGUUGUUUUUUUUGUUAAAGCAACUGACAUAGCACUUGGGACUGAUUUAUGUUAUUACUUUGGGAGAUAAAAUGUGUUUAAAAAUAGUGUUCCCAUGAAAUUAAAAAAUGGUUAACUUUCAUCAGUUGUAGGAUGAUCCUAGACUACCAUGUGUGUGAAACUUGUCUCAAGACAAGUAUAUUAUGUAUUGUGUUUAAAUGUUUUUUUUUGCAUUUCAGGUAUAACUUUUUAAAAUGUGAAAACACACAUAAAUAAAUGUGUACAGAUAUAUACAACUCUGAUCUCAUGCCAAAAAUGUGUGUGACUGCCUUGUGAUAGUUUUGGAGCGGGUGAUGUGCUCCAAAGAGAUGAAAAUACCUGGAAAGAUUCUGUGGACCAGUCAACUCUGAGCCAACUUGAGGAUAUGGGGCUUUGGGACCUCCCUGGUGACUCAGUGG
Delphinapterus leucas (beluga whale) is the source of this 12316-nucleotide non-coding RNA. The record is from RefSeq and is a predicted model, not a curated record. Lineage: Eukaryota; Metazoa; Chordata; Mammalia; Artiodactyla; Monodontidae.